This 891-nucleotide ribosomal RNA is filed under the name uncultured bacterium. RNAcentral describes it as "bacterial SSU rRNA". It matches the Rfam family "Bacterial small subunit ribosomal RNA", at positions 516 to 1399 of the family's 1533-position model. The record is from RNAcentral.
CGCGGUAAUACGGAGGGAGCAAGCGUUGUUCGGAAUCACUGGGCGUAAAGCGCGCGUAGGCGGCCGAGUAAGUCGUAUGUGAAAGACCGGGGCUCAACUCCGUGUAUUGCAUGCGAUACUGCCCGGCUGGAGAAAGGUAGAGGCAAGUGGAAUUCCCGGUGUAGCGGUGGAAUGCGUAGAUAUCGGGAAGAACACCUGUGGCGAAGGCGGCUUGCUGGGCCUUUUCUGACGCUGAAGUGCGAAAGCGUGGGGAGCAAACAGGAUUAGAUACCCUGGUAGUCCACGCCGUAAACGAUGGGUACUAGGCGUUGGGAGGAUUUGACCCUCUCAGUGCCGUAGCUAACGCGUUAAGUACCCCGCCUGGGGAGUACGGCCGCAAGGCUGAAACUCAAAGGAAUUGACGGGGGCCCGCACAAGCGGUGGAGCCUGUGGUUUAAUUCGAAGCAACGCGAAGAACCUUACCUGGGCUUGACAUGUCGGUAGUACUCUCCUGGAAACAGGAGGGGACCCUUCGGGGAGCCGUCACAGGUGCUGCAUGGCUGCCGUCAGCUCGUGUCGUGAGAUGUUGGGUUAAGUCCCGCAACGAGCGCAACCCUCGCCCGUAGUUGCUAACAGAUUAUGCUGAGGACUCUACGGGGACUGCCGGUGAUAAACCGGAGGAAGGUGGGGAUGACGUCAAGUCCUCAUGGCCCUUAUGCCCAGGGCGACACACGUGCUACAAUGGCCGGUACAGAGGGCAGCAAUGCCGCGAGGUGGAGCGAAUCCCCAAAAACCGGUCUAAGUUCGGAUUGCAGUCUGCAACUCGACUGCAUGAAGCUGGAAUCGCUAGUAAUCGUGGGUCAGCCAUACCACGGUGAAUACGUUCCCGGGCCUUGUACACACCGCCCGUCA